RNAcentral lists this ribosomal RNA (246 nucleotides) under uncultured Lactobacillus sp. RNAcentral describes it as "partial 16S ribosomal RNA". It matches the Rfam family "Bacterial small subunit ribosomal RNA", at positions 116 to 355 of the family's 1533-position model. Lineage: Bacteria; Bacillati; Bacillota; Bacilli; Lactobacillales; Lactobacillaceae. The record is from RNAcentral.
CGUGGGUAACCUGCCCAAGAGAUCGGGAUAACACCUGGAAACAGAUGCUAAUACCGGAUAACAACAGAUGAUGCCUAUCAACUGUUUAAAAGAUGGUUCUGCUAUCACUCUUGGAUGGACCUGCGGUGCAUUAGCUAGUUGGUAGGGUAACGGCCUACCAAGGCGAUGAUGCAUAGCCGAGUUGAGAGACUGAUCGGCCACAUUGGGACUGAGACACGGUCCAAACUCCUACGGGAGGCAGCAGCC